Erigeron canadensis is the source of this 1037-nucleotide long non-coding RNA. RefSeq lists it as uncharacterized. The record is from RefSeq and is a predicted model, not a curated record. The transcript is spliced from 4 exons. Lineage: Eukaryota; Viridiplantae; Streptophyta; Magnoliopsida; Asterales; Asteraceae.
GUAAAGCUGUGUAGUGAAUUCUUAUUAUGAUAAUUAUGAUUAUGAUUUUAAUUAUAUUGAAGAAGUUGGUAGUCAAGAUAACAGGGUUUGGUCAAACUAGCGUAUAUACAUACCCCGUUUUUAAGCAACUGAUGGCUAGACACAAAAUCUUGGUUGAGAGCUUGAUGAAUUAGAAACAGUUCCUGCAACAGAUUAAACUCUAUCUAAAUAAUACUCAUACGUCAAACUUUAUGCGUUAAGAGUUAGAUUAUGUAUUAGUUUACAGAAGUAGUUAUUGUAGUUUUAUAUCCUAUUUUGAUCUCUUUCUCGAGCAACCACAAGUUUUACUAAUGUAAAAUCUUCAUGAUCAUGUGCUGGUUAAUCAGCAUACUGCUUCAUUAAGCUGUUCCAUGCUGAUGUUCAAAUUAUAGGGCAAAACAGACGGUUCUUUGCUAACUACAAUUUAGGAGAGAUGAAAAUGAAACUAUAUGACACCAUUUAGUUGAAUCGCGCGAAUUAUCAUUUCAAGAUGAGUAUCAGGGUUUGUAGGUGCUUAUGUAAAAAACACAAGUAACAAGGGAUCUUACACGCUCUUCUGGGAGUGUAGAGGUGUGAAGAUGAGGUUGAUGAGUACCAACGUGGCAAAAUAAGCUUUGGGUCUUAGGUUCAACCGAAGUGUGGGAAAGAGCCUUCGAUACUUCCACUGAUGAAACACUCCAUGACCUCCCGAGGAACUCCAUUGACUCGGUUGGGGUUUCUGGCAGUGGACAUGCUGCUGAAAGAGACGAGGUGGCAGCAAGCCAGCAAUAAAGAAAACUAACAGGCAGUAUCAAGUAGAAACAGGUUCACUUGUGAAGUUUAUAGAGGAAGUUGAAGUGUUAUAUAUGGUUGUAGGUGUGUGGUUCAUAUGGAGUUCAAAAUGAACUUUUUCGACUUCUAAGGCUCUGGCUCAGUCCAUUUUCUUUAUCUUUUGUGGAGCCCAGAUUAUAAAUGCACAUUAUAGGAACAGGACCCGUAGAAUGAAAUACAAAUAUUCAAAAAAUGAUUAGAAACUCCAA